GAUGAACGCUGGCGGCGUGCCUAAUACAUGCAAGUCGAGCGAACAGACGAGGAGCUUGCUCCUUUGACGUUAGCGGCGGACGGGUGAGUAACACGUGGGUAACCUACCUAUAAGACUGGGAUAACUUCGGGAAACCGGAGCUAAUACCGGAUAAUAUUUCGAACCGCAUGGUUCGAUAGUGAAAGAUGGCUCUGCUAUCACUUAUAGAUGGACCUGCGCCGUAUUAGCUAGUUGGUAAGGUAACGGCUUACCAAGGCAACGAUACGUAGCCGAACUGAGAGGGUGAUCGGCCACACUGGAACUGAGACACGGUCCAGACUCCUACGGGAGGCAGCAGUAGGGAAUCUUCCGCAAUGGGCGAAAGCCUGACGGAGCAACGCCGCGUGAGUGAUGAAGGUCUUCGGAUCGUAAAACUCUGUUAUUAGGGAAGAACAAACGUGUAAGUAACUGUGCACGUCUUGACGGUACCUAAUCAGAAAGCCACGGCUAACUACGUG
This 497-nucleotide ribosomal RNA is filed under the name uncultured bacterium. Its description in RNAcentral is "partial 16S ribosomal RNA". It matches the Rfam family "Bacterial small subunit ribosomal RNA", at positions 28 to 507 of the family's 1533-position model. The record is from RNAcentral.